This 360-nucleotide transfer RNA is filed under the name uncultured Microcystis sp. Its description in RNAcentral is "partial 16S-23S ribosomal RNA intergenic spacer". The stretch from base 135 to 208 matches the Rfam family "tRNA". The record is from RNAcentral. Lineage: Bacteria; Bacillati; Cyanobacteriota; Cyanophyceae; Chroococcales; Microcystaceae.
AAGGGAGACCUAAUUCAGGUAAAAGACGAAAAAAAAGUAGUCGCUACCAAGAAUCAAUCCCAAAAGGUCGGAGCGAGGCGAAAUUGGCUUUCAAACUAGGUUCUGGGUUCAAACAAGACCUGAAUCAGGAACAAGGGCUAUUAGCUCAGGUGGUUAGAGCGCACCCCUGAUAAGGGUGAGGUCCCUGGUUCGAGUCCAGGAUGGCCCACCUGCACAGGUGGCAAAAACAAGAGAAGCGAGGAAUCAGCACCUUAUCUUACUUAUAUAGUAAGAGAGAAUGCUGGCUCUGAGUAAAGAGUCCAGAGGAACCUUGAAAACUGCAUAGAGCUAGGUGAAAAAGCCAAAAAAGAAGACCGCAAG